RNAcentral lists this non-coding RNA (24 nucleotides) under Arabidopsis thaliana (thale cress). Lineage: Eukaryota; Viridiplantae; Streptophyta; Magnoliopsida; Brassicales; Brassicaceae. The record is from RNAcentral.
UGUUUAGACAUUGUGAUGCAACGU